GAUGAACGCUGGCGGCGUGCCUAAUACAUGCAAGUCGAGCGAACAGACGAGGAGCUUGCUCCUCUGACGUUAGCGGCGGACGGGUGAGUAACACGUGGAUAACCUACCUAUAAGACUGGGAUAACUUCGGGAAACCGGAGCUAAUACCGGAUAAUAUAUUGAACCGCAUGGUUCAAUAGUGAAAGACGGUUUUGCUGUCACUUAUAGAUGGAUCCGCGCCGCAUUAGCUAGUUGGUAAGGUAACGGCUUACCAAGGCAACGAUGCGUAGCCGACCUGAGAGGUGGAUCGGCAGCCCGGGAGCGAGGCCCAGUGCCAACACCCGACGGGAGGCAGGAGUGGGGAACCUUCCGGAAGGGGCAAAGGCGUAGCGGGGAAACGGGGCGUAAUUAAGAAAGGGCUACGGUGCGUAAACCUUUUUUUUUUGGGAAAAAAAAAUUUUUAAGAACCUAGGCACUUCUUAAAGGAACCUAAUAAAAAGCCCCGGGCAAACCACGG
RNAcentral lists this ribosomal RNA (496 nucleotides) under uncultured bacterium. RNAcentral describes it as "partial 16S ribosomal RNA". It matches the Rfam family "Bacterial small subunit ribosomal RNA", at positions 28 to 506 of the family's 1533-position model. The record is from RNAcentral.